Molecule: long non-coding RNA, 423 nt
Filed under: Homo sapiens (human)
Lineage: Eukaryota; Metazoa; Chordata; Mammalia; Primates; Hominidae
Description: HSALNT0291268
Source: RNAcentral
UUGGGGCCUGGAUAGUGGUUGGGGUCAGGGCCUGGGCCAUGGAGCUUGCAGAGGCAAGGAUGAAGAUGAGGAAUGGAUGCCUGUCACCAAGUUGGGCUACCUGGUCAAGGACAUGAAGAUCAAGUCCCUGGAGGAAAUCUAGCCCUUCUCCUUGACCAUCGAGGAGUCUGAGAUCAUUGACUUUUUCCUGGGGGCAUCUCUCAAGGAUGAGGUUUUGAAGACCACGCCCGUGCAAAAGCAGACCUGCGCUGACCAGCAUACCAGGUUCAAGAGACAGGGUUUUGCCAUGUUGCCCAGGCUGGUCUGGGACUCGGGCUCAAGUGAUCCGUAUGCCUCGGCCUCCCAAAGUGCUAAGAUUACAGGUGUGAGCCACUGCCCCGGUCAACGGAGUUUUUACACAAGAAAAAAUAAAAUGAAUUAAGC